UAUAUAUAUAUAGACACACACACACACACACACACACACACACACAUAUAAAGUAUUGUUCCUCUUAUUGUUAGCCCUCUGUCCCACGUUGUGGUCCAGUAUUUGGUUUGGUGACCUUAUUACAAGGAUAUAGAUUUACAAAAUCAUUAUCACCAUGAACCAACACUCUUUUUCUUUAUUGAAUGUCUCCAGGCAGUCGAGUAGAUAAAGAUGGAUUGUCAUUCUAUUGCACACCUGCACAAAGGAGGAAGAAGUAGCAAGAGUAUUGCUCCAUGAAGCUCACUGAAAAGUACCCCCGGAUGGUGCAGUUUUUUGCAGAAACCACAGCUGGGGUUUCAGACUUUUUGCUGCAAAAUGCAGUGGGUGCAUGGAGAAGAUCGCUCCUACAGAGUUUGUGAUGCGUGCCGUGGAAUGUGUAUACCAUCUAAGCUGCUUCUGCUGCUGUGUAUUUGAGCGACCGCUCAGGAAGGGAGAUGAGCUUCUACUCAAGGAAGGAUAAUUGCUGUAAAAGUGACUAUGAGAAGGAGAAAGAUCUGCUGAGCUCUGGAAGUCCAGAUGGCUGAUUCUGUAAAAAGUGAUGAUGAAGAUGGUGAUGUGAAACCAGGGAAAUGCCAUGUAAAUCAGGGGAAAGGCAAUGAUGAUGGGAAAGACCCAAGGAUACCAAAGCGGCCAAGGACAAUCCUCACAACCCAACAAAGAAGGGCAUUCAAAGCAUCUUUUGAGGUGUCAUCUAAACCAUCUUUUGAGACAUGUGUGCAUCCAAUGCCUUGUGGCAUCUCCAACAACUGUUAUGAGGUGUGUCCCCUGAAACAGAACAAAGAAAGAAAGGAUUAAAAUGAAGCCAAUUUGGAGAAACCGCACAAACCCCAACAGAGUUUCCUGGUGCUUGGUGGUAGGGGAAUCGGCAACCGCCCAACCAAGAUAGAGCUGGGAGCUGUGCCCUGAAGAUUAAAGCAAACUUCAUGUGCUUGGAUUGAGAAUGUGGAGACACUGUGGAUGUCUGUACCAGCUCUGUGUGAGUCCCGGUGAGUCUGACUGAGGGAGAUAUUGAAACUCCAGCGUGUUCCAUGGAUGAAAACAGGUGUUGUCCGUGUGCCUGCUACGUGGGAGCAACUACUCUGUCCAACAGGAGAGGUAUUCGGGCAGGUAGCACUAUCUGGGGAAAGUUAAAGGGGUGGUUCACCUUUAAGUUAACUUUUAGUAUGUUUUACAAUGAUCAGUUCUAAACAUCUUUUUAACUAAUCUAUAUCAUUUAUUUUUUAUAGUUUUUGAAUUAUCUGCCCUGUUCGUCUGACACUUUCCAGCUUUCACAUCGG
This is an RNA transcript of Xenopus laevis (African clawed frog), 1316 nucleotides long. It is a transcript of the gene named LIM homeobox transcription factor 1-beta.1-like, with no coding region annotated. NCBI's taxonomy places the organism in Eukaryota, Metazoa, Chordata, Amphibia, Anura, Pipidae. The transcript has 6 exons. The record is from RefSeq and is a predicted model, not a curated record.